RNAcentral lists this ribosomal RNA (638 nucleotides) under uncultured bacterium. RNAcentral describes it as "bacterial SSU rRNA". It matches the Rfam family "Bacterial small subunit ribosomal RNA", at positions 64 to 748 of the family's 1533-position model. The record is from RNAcentral.
GAGCGAGGUAGCAAUACCUAGCGGCGGACGGGUGAGUAACGCGUGGGAACGUGCCCCUUGGUACGGAAUAGCCCCGGGAAACUGGGAGUAAUACCGUAUGAGCUCUACGGAGGAAAGAUUUAUCGCCAAGGGAUCGGCCCGCGUUGGAUUAGGUAGUUGGUGGGGUAAUGGCCUACCAAGCCGACGAUCCAUAGCUGGUUUGAGAGGAUGAUCAGCCACACUGGGACUGAGACACGGCCCAGACUCCUACGGGAGGCAGCAGUGGGGAAUCUUAGACAAUGGGCGCAAGCCUGAUCUAGCCAUGCCGCGUGAGCGAUGAAGGCCUUAGGGUUGUAAAGCUCUUUCAGCUGGGAAGAUAAUGACUGUACCAGCAGAAGAAGCCCUGGCUAACUCCGUGCCAGCAGCCGCGGUAAUACGGAGGGGGCUAGCGUUGUUCGGAAUUACUGGGCGUAAAGCGCACGUAGGCGGACUGGAAAGUCAGGGGUGAAAUCCCGGGGCUCAACCCCGGAACUGCCUUUGAAACUCCCAGUCUUGAGGUCGAGAGAGGUGAGUGGAAUUCCGAGUGUAGAGGUGAAAUUCGUAGAUAUUCGGAGGAACACCAGUGGCGAAGGCGGCUCACUGGCUCGAUACUGACGCUG